CCUACGGGAGGCAGCAGUGGGGAAUAUUGCACAAUGGGGGAAACCCUGAUGCAGCGACGCCGCGUGAGUGAAGAAGUAUUUCGGUACGUAAAGCUCUAUCAGCAGGGAAGAAAAUGACGGUACCUGACUAAGAAGCCCCGGCUAACUACGUGCCAGCAGCCGCGGUAAUACGUAGGGGGCAAGCGUUAUCCGGAUUUACUGGGUGUAAAGGGAGCGUAGACGGCAGCGCAAGUCUGGAGUGAAAUCCCAUGGCUUAACCAUGGAACUGCUGUGGAAACUGGGCAGCUAGAGUGCAGGAGAGGUAAGCGGAAUUCCUAGUGUAGCGGUGAAAUGCGUAGAUAUUAGGAGGAACACCAGUGGCGAAGGCGGCUUACUGGACUGUAACUGACGUUGAGGCUCGAAAGCGUGGGGAGCAAACAGGAUUAGAUACCCGAGUAGUC
Molecule: ribosomal RNA, 440 nt
Filed under: uncultured bacterium
Lineage: Bacteria
Description: partial 16S ribosomal RNA
Rfam family: Bacterial small subunit ribosomal RNA
Source: RNAcentral